AGUAAAUUAAAACCUCUAAAACCCUAAAACAACAGAGCUCAGCAGCUCCAUAGCCGCUGCAGCUUUACCAUCGCAUCAUAUAUCAGAAGAAAAAGUUUGAGUAAACCAAACUCAUCUCUACACGAAAACAAAGAACGCAGCCACAAACAGGUGAUAGAAAACAAAAAUGGUGCAAUAUAAUUUUAAGAAGAUAACUGUGGUACCAAAUGGAAAGGAUUUUGUUGAUAUCAUUCUUUCUCGGACCCAACGUCAAACACCUACUGUUGUCCACAAAGGUUAUGCAAUCACCCGUCUCCGUCAGUUUUACAUGAGAAAAGUGAAGUACACUCAGCAGAAUUUUCAUGAAAAGCUUUCCACCAUAAUUGAUGAGUUUCCUCGCCUUGGGGAUAUUCACCCUUUCUAUGGAGAUCUGCUUCAUGUGCUAUACAACAAGGACCAUUACAAGCUUGCACUUGGUCAGAUCAACACUGCUAGGAACCUUAUUGGUAAGAUUGCUAGAGAUUAUGUUAAGUUGUUGAAGUAUGGUGAUUCGUUGUACCGAUGCAAGUGUUUGAAAGUUGCUGCUCUUGGUCGUAUGUGUACUGUGUUGAAAAGGAUUGGGCCUAGUUUGGCUUAUUUGGAACAGGUUAGGCAGCAUAUGGCUAGGCUUCCUUCAAUUGAUCCGAACACUCGGACGAUUUUGAUUUGUGGGUAUCCGAAUGUUGGCAAGAGCUCUUUUAUUAAUAAGAUCACUAGAGCUGAUGUUGAUGUGCAGCCCUAUGCCUUUACCACUAAGUCUCUUUUUGUUGGUCAUACCGAUUAUAAGUAUCUGAGGUACCAAGUGAUUGAUACACCAGGGAUUUUGGAUAGGCCAUUUGAGGAUCGGAAUAUUAUUGAGAUGUGCAGUAUCACCGCUCUUGCUCAUUUGAGGGCUGCGAUAUUGUUCUUCUUGGACAUAUCCGGGUCUUGUGGGUACACUAUUGCUCAGCAGGCAGCUUUGUUUCAUAGCAUUAAGUCUUUGUUCUUGAACAAGCCUCUGAUAGUUGUUUGCAACAAGACUGAUUUGCAGCCGCUGGAUGGAUUGUCGGAAGAGGACAUGAAGUUGGUGACGGAGAUGAAAUCUGAAGCAUUGAAGACUGCAAUUGGUCAAGGCGGCGAGGGGACAGAGGCUGAUGUGUUGUUGACCAUGAGUGCCUUGACUGAAGAAGGCGUGAUUGCGGUGAAAAAUGCUGCUUGUGAGAGAUUGCUGAAUCAGAGGGUGGAGAUAAAGAUGAAGUCUAAGAAAAUCAAUGACUGUUUGAACAGGUUUCAUGUUGCAACUCCAAAACCACGUGACCAGAAGGAAAGGCCUGUGUGUAUUCCCCCAACAGUUUUGGAAGCUAAAGCUAAGCAAGCCGCUGCUGAGAAUGAGAAGAGAAAGACCGAGAAGGAUCUUGAGGAAGAAAAUGGAGGGGCAGGUGUAUACUCCAUGAACUUGAGAAAGCAUUAUAUCUUAGCCGAUGAUGAAUGGAAAGAAGAUAUACUGCCUGAGAUUUUGGAUGGCCAUAAUGUGUAUGAUUUUAUUGAUCCUGAUAUUCUACAUAGGGUUGAAGAGUUGGAAAGAGAGGAAGGGUUAAGGCAGGCAGAGGCUGAAGAUGCUGAUUUUGAGAUAGAUUGGACUGAAUUGACUCAGGAGCAGAAACUAGCUUUAGAUGAGAUUAGAAGGAAGAAAAGCUUGCUAAUCCAACAACAUAGGAUAAAAAAGAGCACUGCUGAGAGCCGACCAACCGUUGCAAGGAAAUUUGACAAGGACAGGCAGUACACAGCAGAAAGAAUGGGAAGGCAGCUGUCAUCUCUGGGGCUUGAUCCUUCUCUAGCUAUUAAAAGAAUGCGCAGCAGAUCUGUAUCUAGGCAAGGCCGGAAAAGGGAGAGAUCACCAAGUGUUGAUGGUAGAGGUGGGAUGGAUAUUGAUGGUGACACACCUAGCAAGAAGCAGCGUCUGAGUAGAUCACGUUCUAGGUCUGUCUCCCGCCCACCACAUGAAGUUGUGCCAGGAGAAGGUCUCAGGGAUUCUGCUCAGAAGAUCAAGGCAAUAAAACUUGCAAAGAAAUCUGUCAAGAAGAGAAACAAGGAUGCCCGCCGUGGAGAAGCUGAUAGAGUCAUUCCUAAUGUUAAACCCAAGCAUUUGUAUACUGGAAAACGCUCCAAUGGAAAAACCGAUAGACGAUAAAACAGGUAACCUGGGCUUGUUAUAUCCAAGCCAGUUUUUUUUAUUUUAUUCAGUGUGGUGAUUGACAAAUCUUGUGGCUACAAGAUCAAUUUCUGCAUAUCGACAUUGUUGGUCUUGCGAUUUCUUCUGAACUCGAAGUUUGUUUCGCCAAAUGUUAGUGAGGUUCCACUCUUGAAUCAUGGCUUAUCGGAAGCCCCAUCUUGAUGAUUUUAGUGAUGAAAAAAGUGAAUGAUAUAAUCUAUUUAAAUGCUGGGGAUGAUGAUGAUGAUGGCUUUGUGGUUGUCGAGAAUUUUGUUCUAUUUAUGUUUUCCUGGAGUUAAUGGCAUGGUGAUGGCUGCGAAGAAAUUUUCCUGUACACUCGCUUUUUAUAUCAUUCUUUAUAAAUGUUUUUUUUAGAUCUUUUUUGGACCCAUGGUAUGAAUUGUGGGAACUGCUUUUAUUUAGAUCAAUUUUGGACCCAUGUUAUGAAUUGUGGGGGCUGCUGUUUGGAUUUUGAGUUGUUUAUGUACUCGGAAAUAUUGGCAACUGUGGUUGUGUUUUUUGGAAGUUUGUUGUUUUGUUUCGAAUAUGAUGGCCGUUUCCCUUUAAUGUUUUAAUGUUCAAUAGCA
Molecule: non-coding RNA, 2796 nt
Organism: Cicer arietinum (chickpea)
Lineage: Eukaryota; Viridiplantae; Streptophyta; Magnoliopsida; Fabales; Fabaceae
Source: RefSeq, a predicted model, not a curated record